RNAcentral lists this ribosomal RNA (253 nucleotides) under uncultured bacterium. RNAcentral's name for it is "partial 16S ribosomal RNA". It matches the Rfam family "Bacterial small subunit ribosomal RNA", at positions 524 to 776 of the family's 1533-position model. The record is from RNAcentral.
GACAGAGGGUGCUAGCGUUGUUCGGAAUUACUGGGCGUAAAGGGCGCGUAGGCGGUCCGCUAAGUUCGGCGUGAAAUCCCCUGGCUCAACUGGGGAACUGCGCUGGAUACUGGUGGACUUGAGUACCGGAGAGGAGAGUGGAAUUCCUGGUGUAGCGGUGAAAUGCGUAGAUAUCAGGAGGAACACCGGUGGCGAAGGCGGCUCUCUGGACGGAUACUGACGCUGAGGCGCGAAAGCGUGGGGAGCGAACAGG